This 497-nucleotide ribosomal RNA is filed under the name uncultured bacterium. RNAcentral's name for it is "partial 16S ribosomal RNA". It matches the Rfam family "Bacterial small subunit ribosomal RNA", at positions 28 to 507 of the family's 1533-position model. The record is from RNAcentral.
GAUGAACGCUGGCGGCGUGCCUAAUACAUGCAAGUCGAGCGAACGGACGAGAAGCUUGCUUCUCUGAUGUUAGCGGCGGACGGGUGAGUAACACGUGGAUAGCCUACCUAUAAGACUGGGAUAACUUCGGGAAACCGGAGCUAAUACCGGAUGAUAUUUUGAACCGCAUGGUUCAAAAGUGAAAGACGGUCUUGCUGUCACUAAUAGAUGGAUCCGCGCUGCAUUAGCUAGUUGGUAAGGUAACGGCUUACCAAGACAACGAUGCAUAGCCGACCUGAGAGGGUGAUCGGCCACACUGGAACUGAGACACGGUCCAGACUCCUACGGGAGGCAGCAGUAGGGAAUCUUCCGCAAUGGGCGAAAGCCUGACGGAGCAACGCCGCGUGAGUGAUGAAGGUCUUCGGAUCGUAAAACUCUGUUAGUAGGGAAGAACAUAUGUGUAAGUAACUGUGCACAUCUUGACGGUACCUAAACAGAAAGCCACGGCUAACUACGUG